This 385-nucleotide unclassified non-coding RNA is filed under the name Hevea brasiliensis (rubber tree). The record is from RNAcentral. Lineage: Eukaryota; Viridiplantae; Streptophyta; Magnoliopsida; Malpighiales; Euphorbiaceae.
AAAAAAAAAAAAAAAAAACAAAGUCUUUAAAGCACUUGAAAAUAGAACUUCAUAUAAGCACCCAAUUUUCUUCCUCUAAGCACGUAUACCCUCUCACAGUCUAUACAUAUAUCAUUCAUUAUUCUCAUAACCAAUUUUAAGGCAUUUUACAACCACAUUUGAUCACUUCUUUCUCUUUUCCUUCUAAAUUCAAACAUGUAAAGCACAAUUCUAAGUUCUGAAGUGCUGAAAGAAUUUACCAUGAUUAAGAAGAAAAGGAAAUUUUCAUAAGAUAAUCCAUAUAAACACUGCGAACUAAUCAUAACUAAGAAAAUCAGCACGUUCUCGGGAAAAGGAAUUAUAAAAAGACGAGAAAUUUCUCACAGUCGCCAAGCUUGUUGGGGAC